RNAcentral lists this ribosomal RNA (844 nucleotides) under Preactis millardae. RNAcentral describes it as "partial 12S small subunit ribosomal RNA". It matches the Rfam family "Bacterial small subunit ribosomal RNA", at positions 320 to 1494 of the family's 1533-position model. Lineage: Eukaryota; Metazoa; Cnidaria; Anthozoa; Actiniaria; Preactiidae. The record is from RNAcentral.
UGAAACAAGGGGAAGACUCACAUAGAGGCAGCAGUAGAGAAUCUUGUGCAAUAAACGAAAGUAUGACACAGAGAGGACACAUUUAAUUGAGCCCGUCAAAUUAAGUGCCAGCCGACGCGGUUAAACUUAAGGGCUGGUCUUUAUAAGUAAAAAGGCGUAAAGGAUGUGUAGGCUAAGAAACGAUCCAAGUAGGUAAAUGGAAUUUUUCUGGAGCGGUAGAAUGUGAGGAUAGAAAAUAGAACCCCUAAGGUAAAAACUAUUUACUACAAGGCAGGCUGAAACAUGAGAGUGUGGGGAGCAAACAGGAUUAGAGACCCUGGUAGUCCACACUGUGAACUUUGAAGAUGAUGCUUAGCAGACCCGAAAGGUAAAAUCUUCCGCCUGAGUAGUACGAUCGCAAGAUUAAAAUUCAAAAACUUUGGCUGUUCACUAUUUCGAUUAGAGGAGCGUGUAGUUUAAUUCGAUGGUCCGCGUGUUACCUUACCCCAACUUGAAUCUGUGACCGGUAUUGCAUGGCCGUCGUAAGUUCGUGUAUUAAGCUAGAAGGGACCCAACCCGGGCAUUUGCCCGGAGGAAGUCAGGUCUUAUGAUCCGAAUGUUGGGGGAUUUUAUGCGCUACAUUUUCUUAUAUAAUGAGAAACCUGGAAGGUGAGUCUCUAAAGUAAGAGUUCGGAAGGUCGCUGUAAGACGACUGGAAGUUGGAUUUAAUAGUAAUCGGAAAGUAGGGCGUUCCGGUGAAUUGGUACAAGUGUUAGCACAAAUUGCCCGUCACCUUUACUUAGAAUGGUUAUUCGGACGUCUUCGGUGAUUACGAAUGCCUACGAGGUAAAGCAAGUCGUAACAU